Long non-coding RNA from Ananas comosus (pineapple), 1055 nucleotides. RefSeq lists it as uncharacterized. The transcript is spliced from 3 exons. The record is from RefSeq and is a predicted model, not a curated record. NCBI's taxonomy places the organism in Eukaryota, Viridiplantae, Streptophyta, Magnoliopsida, Poales, Bromeliaceae.
UCAUCCGGACGGUCACCAAUAAUAAACGUGCUGGGCGCUACCUGUUCCAUCUCCGGGUCCACCCCCGCCGUCACCGCCUUGCUUCUCUUCCCGUGCCCGUUUCAUCUUUCUUCCGCUGAAGCCCGUUCGCACAAAUUCGGCAGCGGCAAAGCAGAAGGACGUUGCGGUCGGCAGUUGGAAGGUUCCCUUUUUCUCCGCGAUCAUGGCGAAGGCGGAGUUCUUGAACCGGGAGGAGGAGUUCCUCUCCUCUUCCAUCCUUGACCUGCACAAAAGUGAGGGAGUGAGGUCCCGGGGGCAGCUGAUUGAAAGGAAGAUUGAGAUCUUAGAAAACUUGGCAGGAAAGGAUUCGAACCUACGACCAGCCAGUUAACAGCUAUGUGCUCAGCACUGGACAUGUUCAAAUUAUUUCAACCAAUUCUCGCGUAACCUAUCCUCUGAAGGUUCUACAUCUGAUUUGUAAAGGGUAAUGAAUGUAUACAUCGUUGUAUUUUUAUCCUCUUUAGGAAGCCUAAUCUAUCUCAGUGUUCAUAUCUACAACGCCCAAAAUUUUCAUACGCUGUUUUCCUAUUAUACAACAUUCUGAUUGAUAAACUAUAUUGGGUGUCGUAAUCACAAUCCAAAGGAGCAUACGGUGACAUUUCUAGUCGCACUUUUUCAUUUUAACUCUACUGCUUUAAUUUUAUUCAUAUUUUCCUUGUCAAUCUCAUCCUCUUGUUGAGUUUUAUGUAAGAUGGGUCAGUUUAGAUUGAAUAGGGUUGAGUCAAGUUUACUUAUAUUAUUCAAAUCAACCAAUUCAAAUCUCCAAAUCAAGUUGGAAUCUGGUUUGAUAGGAGUUCAACUUGAGUUUAUCUGAGUCAAUUUGGUUCUAGUGUAGUUAAAUUUGAACUAUAAUGAGAAUGUGGUUUAAAUUGGGUGCUCUAUCUAUGUCCCUUUAUGGGAUUAGAGUAUAUCUGAAAUCCUAAAAUUUCCAAGAAUUAUCAACUCUAAUUUGUUAGAGCUCAUGCUUAGACUACUGAAUGACCUUUUGGAAGAUAAUUUGAUAAUGGAAAAAAUAG